AUGAACGCUGGCGGCGUGCUUAAUACAUGCAAGUUGAACGAGGUGCCUCCGGUAGCAAUACUAGAGGUAUCCUAGUGGCGAAUGGGUGAGUAACACGUAGGCGACCUGCCCCGAAGUGGGGAAUAACAGUUCGAAAGAACUGCUAAUACCGCGUGUGGUCCGGGAGGUUAGAGACUCUGGGACUAAAGCAGCAAUGCGCUUCGGGAGGGACCUGCGGUCCAUCAGCUAGUUGGUAGGGUAAUGGCCUACCAAGGCAAGGACGGAUAGGGGGCCGGAGAGGGUGAUCCCCCACACUGGCACUGAAACACGGGCCAGACACCUACGGGUGGCAGCAGUAGGGAAGAUUGCACAAUGGGCGCAAGCCGGAUGCAGCAACGCCGCGUGCGCGAGGAAGGCCUUCGGGUCGUAAAGCGCUUUUCGGGGAGAUGAGAGAGGACAGUAUCCCCGGAAGAAGUCACGGCUAACUACGU
This 470-nucleotide ribosomal RNA is filed under the name uncultured bacterium. RNAcentral's name for it is "bacterial SSU rRNA". It matches the Rfam family "Bacterial small subunit ribosomal RNA", at positions 29 to 506 of the family's 1533-position model. The record is from RNAcentral.